Molecule: ribosomal RNA, 896 nt
Filed under: uncultured Actinomyces sp.
Lineage: Bacteria; Bacillati; Actinomycetota; Actinomycetes; Actinomycetales; Actinomycetaceae
Description: bacterial SSU rRNA
Rfam family: Bacterial small subunit ribosomal RNA (bases 1-765)
Source: RNAcentral
GACGAACGCUGGCGGCGUGCUUAACACAUGCAAGUCGAACGCUGAAGCCCAGCUUUUGUUGGGUGGAUGAGUGGCGAACGGGUGAGUAACACGUGAGUAACCUGCCCCCUUCUUUGGGAUAACGCCCGGAAACGGGUGCUAAUACUGGAUAUUCACUGAUCUUCGCAUGGGGGUUGGUGGAAAGGGUUUUUUCUGGUGGGGGAUGGGCUCGCGGCCUAUCAGCUUGUUGGUGGGGUGAUGGCCUACCAGGGCUUUGACGGGUAGCCGGCCUGAGAGGGUGACCGGUCACAUUGGGACUGAGAUACGGCCCAGACUCCUACGGGAGGCAGCAGUGGGGAAUAUUGCACAAUGGGCGAAAGCCUGAUGCAGCGACGCCGCGUGAGGGAUGGAGGCCUUCGGGUUGUAAACCUCUUUCGCUCAUGGUCAAGCCGCAGCUUUGGGUUGUGGUGAGGGUAGUGGGUAAAGAAGCGCCGGCUAACUACGUGCCAGCAUCCGCGGUAAUACGUAGGGCUCGAGCGUUGUCCGGAAUUAUUGGGCGUAAAGGGCUUGUAUGCGGUUGGUCGCGUCUGCCGUGAAAUCGUCUGGUGUACUGGGGGGCGUGCGGUGGGUACGGUCUGACUUGAGUGCGGUAGGGGGAGACUGGAACUCCUGGUGUAGCGGUGAAAUGCACGUAUAUGAAGUAAAAAACCGGUGGGCGAAUGCGGGUCUCUUGUGCUGUACUGGACGCUUAUGAGGAAGCGUGUGUGAGCAUGAUGAAUAUGUGCCCUGGUAGUGCUGUGGCGAGUUUCGCGUGGGUUUGAAGUUUUUGGUUUCCGUCAAGCAAUAAAAAAAGAGUCAUGUAACUUUGUGUUGUCGGUCAUGGAUUGUAAUUAGUAGGUUGUUGUGGUGUUGUUUGG